GACGAACGCUGGCGGCGUGCUUAACACAUGCAAGUCGAACGGGCCCUUCGGGGUUAGUGGCGAACGGGUGAGUAACACGUGGGUGAUCUGCCCUGCACUUUGGGAUAAGCCUGGGAAACUGGGUCUAAUACCGGAUAGGAUCAUGGCCUGCAUGGGUUGUGGUGGAAAGCUUUUGCGGUGUGGGAUGGGCCCGCGGCCUAUCAGCUUGUUGGUGAGGUUACGGCUCACCAAGGCGACGACGGGUAGCCGGCCUGAGAGGGUGACCGGCCACACUGGGACUGAGAUACGGCCCAGACUCCUACGGGAGGCAGCAGUGGGGAAUAUUGCACAAUGGGCGCAAGCCUGAUGCAGCGACGCCGCGUGAGGGAUGACGGCCUUCGGGUUGUAAACCUCUUUCAGUACAGACGAAGCGUGAGUGACGGUAUGUACAGAAGAAGGACCGGCCAACUACGUGCCAGCAGCCGCCGUAACAC
Molecule: ribosomal RNA, 473 nt
Filed under: uncultured bacterium
Lineage: Bacteria
Description: bacterial SSU rRNA
Rfam family: Bacterial small subunit ribosomal RNA
Source: RNAcentral